Molecule: long non-coding RNA, 508 nt
Filed under: Nicotiana tabacum (common tobacco)
Lineage: Eukaryota; Viridiplantae; Streptophyta; Magnoliopsida; Solanales; Solanaceae
Description: long non-coding RNA (NTAB_LNC016999)
Source: RNAcentral
UUCAGCUUUUUUAUACUGCAAAACAAAGACUUCAGCAUUUUGGUGUGAAGGUUUAGCAAAUUAUGUAAAAACUCAGCUAGUUAAAUUCACUAGAAAAUUACAUAGUGCAGGAGGAAAACUUUAGCAGGUUUGUCCUGAAAUUUUUACAAAUGAACUAAACAACUUCAGCAUCUUCUGCUAAAAUUUCGGAAAAAGCUCACGACAAAACUAUUGAAUCCAGGACAAAAUUUCAGCAUAUUUUAGUGUUGAAGUAUUAGCAAAUGAACUAAAAAACUUCAGCUUGUUUAUACUGUAAGACAAAGACUUCAGCAUUUUGGUGUGAAGGUUUAGAAAAUUAAAUAAAAAGUCAGCUAGUUAAAUUCACUAGAAAAUUACAUAGUGCGGGAGGAAAACUUAGCAGGUUUGUCCUGAAGUUUUUACAAAUGAACUAAACAACUUCAGCAUCUUCUGCUGAAGUUCGGAAAAGACUCAUGACAAAACUAUUAAAUCCAGGACAAAACUUCAGCAU